RNAcentral lists this microRNA (23 nucleotides) under Magallana gigas (Pacific oyster). RNAcentral describes it as "Mgi-Mir-184-P9_5p (mature (co-guide))". Lineage: Eukaryota; Metazoa; Mollusca; Bivalvia; Ostreida; Ostreidae. The record is from RNAcentral.
CCUUGUCACACAUUCGUCACAGU